UUCCCCUGCAGGUCGAACGGGGACUUUCGGUCUUACGUGGCGCACGGGUGAGUAACGCGUGGGAAUCUACCCUAAAGUCGGGGAUAACCGCUGGAAACGGCGGCUAAUACCGGAUACGCCCUGAGGGGCAAAGCUUUUGCGCUUUAGGAGGAGCCCGCGUCCGAUUAGCUAGUUGGUGGGGUAAAGGCCUACCAAGGCUGCGAUCGGUACCUGGUCUGAGAGGAUGAUCAGCCCCACUGGGACUGAAACACAGCCCAGACUCCUACCGGAGGCAGCAGUGGGGAAUCUUGGACAAUGGGGGCAACCCUGAUCCCGCCCUGCCGCGUGGGUGAAGAAGGCCUUACGGUUGUAAAGCCCUUUCGGCGGGGAAAAUGAUGACGGUACCCGCAUAAGACGCCCCGGCUAAUUCCUUGCCAGCGGCCG
Molecule: ribosomal RNA, 423 nt
Filed under: Rhodovibrio sp. P95090908-1M
Lineage: Bacteria; Pseudomonadati; Pseudomonadota; Alphaproteobacteria; Rhodospirillales; Rhodovibrionaceae
Description: bacterial SSU rRNA
Rfam family: Bacterial small subunit ribosomal RNA
Source: RNAcentral